This 465-nucleotide ribosomal RNA is filed under the name Vreelandella stevensii. RNAcentral describes it as "partial 16S ribosomal RNA". It matches the Rfam family "Bacterial small subunit ribosomal RNA", at positions 338 to 795 of the family's 1533-position model. The record is from RNAcentral. Lineage: Bacteria; Pseudomonadati; Pseudomonadota; Gammaproteobacteria; Oceanospirillales; Halomonadaceae.
CCUACGGGUGGCAGCAGUGGGGAAUAUUGGACAAUGGGCGAAAGCCUGAUCCAGCCAUGCCGCGUGUGUGAAGAAGGCCUUCGGGUUGUAAAGCACUUUCAGUGGGGAAGAAAGCCUUGGGGCUAAUACCCUCGAGGAAGGACAUCACCCACAGAAGAAGCACCGGCUAACUCCGUGCCAGCAGCCGCGGUAAUACGGAGGGUGCGAGAGUUAAUCGGAAUUACUGGGCGUAAAGCGCGCGUAGGCGGUCUGAUAAGCCGGUUGUGAAAGCCCCGGGCUCAACCUGGGAACGGCAUCCGGAACUGUCAGGCUAGAGUGCAGGAGAGGAAGGUAGAAUUCCCGGUGUAGCGGUGAAAUGCGUAGAGAUCGGGAGGAAUACCAGUGGCGAAGGCGGCCUUCUGGACUGACACUGACGCUGAGGUGCGAAAGCGUGGGUAGCAAACAGGAUUAGAUACCCGGGUAGUC